GACAAACGCUGGCGGCGUGCUUAACACAUGCAAGUCGAACGGUCACUCUACGGAGUGAUAGUGGCGGACGGGUGAGUAACACGUAGUCAACCUACCCUAAAGUGGGGGAAUAACCCCUCGAAGAGGAGCUAAUACCGCAUACGCUCUCUGGUGAUAGCUAGAGAGGAAACGAUAGCAGUGACACGCUAUGGGCUUUAGGAUGGGACGUGCGGCGGAUUAGCUAGAUGGGGGGUAAGUGGCCUACCAUGGCGACGAUCCGUAGCUGGUCUGAGAGGACGACCAGCCACACUGGGACUGAGACACGGCCCAGACUCCUACGGGAGGCAGCAGUGAGGAAUAUUCCACAAUGGGCGCAAGCCUGAUGGAGCGACGCCGCGUGGGGGAAGGAA
This 389-nucleotide ribosomal RNA is filed under the name uncultured bacterium. RNAcentral's name for it is "bacterial SSU rRNA". It matches the Rfam family "Bacterial small subunit ribosomal RNA", at positions 28 to 413 of the family's 1533-position model. The record is from RNAcentral.